RNAcentral lists this ribosomal RNA (909 nucleotides) under Penicillium cinnamopurpureum. RNAcentral describes it as "LSU rRNA". It matches the Rfam family "Eukaryotic large subunit ribosomal RNA", at positions 38 to 964 of the family's 3401-position model. The record is from RNAcentral. Lineage: Eukaryota; Fungi; Ascomycota; Eurotiomycetes; Eurotiales; Aspergillaceae.
GCAUAUCAAUAAGCGGAGGAAAAGAAACCAACAGGGAUUGCCCCAGUAACGGCGAGUGAAGCGGCAAGAGCUCAAAUUUGAAAGCUGGCCCCCUCGGGGUCCGCAUUGUAAUUUGCAGAGGAUGCUUCGGGAGCGGUCCCCAUCUAAGUACCCUGGAACGGGUCGUCAUAGAGGGUGAGAAUCCCGUAUGGGAUGGGGUGUCCGCGCCCGUGUGAAGCUCCUUCGACGAGUCGAGUUGUUUGGGAAUGCAGCUCUAAAUGGGUGGUAAAUUUCAUCUAAAGCUAAAUAUUGGCCGGAGACCGAUAGCGCACAAGUAGAGUGAUCGAAAGAUGAAAAGCACUUUGAAAAGAGAGUUAAAAAGCACGUGAAAUUGUUGAAAGGGAAGCGCUUGCGACCAGACUCGCCCACGGGGUUCAGCCGGCAUUCGUGCCGGUGUACUUCCCCGCGGGCGGGCCAGCGUCGGUUUGGGCGGCCGGUCAAAGGCCCUCGGAAUGUAACGCCCCUCGGGGCGUCUUAUAGCCGAGGGUGCCAUGCGGCCUGCCCGGACCGAGGAACGCGCUUCGGCUCGGACGCUGGCAUAAUGGUCGUAAGCGACCCGUCUUGAAACACGGACCAAGGAGUCUAACAUCUACGCGAGUGUUCGGGUGUCAAACCCGUGCGCGCAGUGAAAGCGAACGGAGGUGGGAACCCUCACGGGUGCACCAUCGACCGAUCCUGAUGUCUUCGGAUGGAUUUGAGUAAGAGCGUAGCUGUUGGGACCCGAAAGAUGGUGAACUAUGCCUGAAUAGGGCGAAGCCAGAGGAAACUCUGGUGGAGGCUCGCAGCGGUUCUGACGUGCAAAUCGAUCGUCAAAUUUGGGGUAUAGGGGCGAAAGACUAAUCGAACCAUCUAGUAGCUGGUUCCUGCCGA